This 428-nucleotide ribosomal RNA is filed under the name uncultured bacterium. RNAcentral describes it as "partial 16S ribosomal RNA". It matches the Rfam family "Bacterial small subunit ribosomal RNA", at positions 354 to 796 of the family's 1533-position model. The record is from RNAcentral.
GUGGGGAAUAUUGGGCAAUGGGCGAAAGCCUGACCCAGCAACGCCGCGUGAGGGAAGAAGGUUUUCGGAUUGUAAACCUCUGUCCUUGGUGACGAACACAAUGACGGUAGCCAAGGAGGAAGCCCCGGCUAACUACGUGCCAGCAGCCGCGGUAAUACGUAGGGGGCAAGCGUUGUCCGGAAUGACUGGGCGUAAAGGGCGUGUAGGCGGCCGAUUAAGUCUGGAGUGAAAGUCCUGCUUUCAAGGUGGGAAUUGCUUUGGAGACUGGUUGGCUUGAGUGCGGAAGAGGCAAGUGGAAUUCCUAGUGUAGCGGUGAAAUGCGUAGAUAUUAGGAGGAACACCAGUGGCGAAGGCGACUUUCUGGACUGUAACUGACACUGAGGCACGAAAGCGUGGGUAGCAAACAGGAUUAGAAACCCCAGUAGUCC